RNAcentral lists this ribosomal RNA (253 nucleotides) under uncultured bacterium. Its description in RNAcentral is "partial 16S ribosomal RNA". It matches the Rfam family "Bacterial small subunit ribosomal RNA", at positions 524 to 776 of the family's 1533-position model. The record is from RNAcentral.
UACGGAGGGUGCAAGCGUUAAUCGGAAUUACUGGGCGUAAAGGGUGCGUAGGUGGUCUCGCAAGUCUGAUGUGAAAUCUCCGGGCUUAACCCGGAAAUGGCAUUGGAAACUGCGGGGCUAGAGUGUUGGAGGGGGGACUGGAAUUCUCGGUGUAGCAGUGAAAUGCGUAGAUAUCGAGAGGAACACCAGUGGCGAAGGCGAGUCCCUGGACAACUACUGACACUGAGGCACGAAAGCUAGGGGAGCAAACAGG